Molecule: transfer RNA, 65 nt
Filed under: Ictidomys tridecemlineatus (thirteen-lined ground squirrel)
Lineage: Eukaryota; Metazoa; Chordata; Mammalia; Rodentia; Sciuridae
Description: Spermophilus tridecemlineatus (thirteen-lined ground squirrel) tRNA
Rfam family: tRNA
About the family: Transfer RNA (tRNA) molecules are approximately 80 nucleotides in length. Their secondary structure includes four short double-helical elements and three loops (D, anti-codon, and T loops).
Source: Rfam by way of RNAcentral
AAUAUAUCUCAGUGAUAGAGAAUUUGCUUAGCAUGUGUGAGACUCUGGGUUCAAUUCCCAGUGUU